CCACCCGUUCCCAUACCGAACACGAUGGUUAAG
RNAcentral lists this ribosomal RNA (33 nucleotides) under Clostridium botulinum. Lineage: Bacteria; Bacillati; Bacillota; Clostridia; Eubacteriales; Clostridiaceae. The record is from RNAcentral.